GAUGAAGAACGCAGCGAAAUGCGAUAAGUAAUGUGAAUUGCAGAAUUCAGUGAAUCAUCGAAUCUUUGAACGCACAUUGCGCCCCUUGGUAUCCCGAGGGGCAUGCCUGUUCGAGCGUCAUUUCACCACUCAAGCCUGGCUUGGUGUUGGGCGACGCCCCCUUUGGGGACGCGCCUCGAAACGCUCGGCGGCGUGGCACCGGCUUUAAGCGUAGCAGAAUCUUUCGCUUUGGAAGUCGGGGCCCCGUCUGCCGGAAGACCUACUCGCAAGGUUGACCUCGGAUCAGGCAGGGAUACCCGCUGAACUUAAGCAUAUCAAUAAGCGGAGGA
RNAcentral lists this unclassified non-coding RNA (329 nucleotides) under soil metagenome. Its description in RNAcentral is "partial contains 5.8S ribosomal RNA, internal transcribed spacer 2, and large subunit ribosomal RNA". The stretch from base 1 to 120 matches the Rfam family "5.8S ribosomal RNA", at positions 35 to 154 of the family's 154-position model. The record is from RNAcentral.